UAGAUUUAAAGUUUAGGGUUUAGUGUUUAGAGUUGAUGUUUUAGGAUUUAGAAUUGAUGUUUCGGGGUUUAGAGUUUAGAGUUGAUGUUUCAGGGUUUAGGGUUCGUAUUUCCAAAAAAAUAGGGUUUAAGAUUGACGGUUUAAGGUUUAGAUUUCAUAUUUCAAAAAUAAAAUAUGGUUUAGGAUUGAUGGUUUAGGGUUUAGAGUUGAGUUUUGAGGGGUUAGGGUUUGAAUUUCGAAAU
RNAcentral lists this long non-coding RNA (242 nucleotides) under Brassica napus (rape). RNAcentral describes it as "long non-coding RNA (BNAP_LNC000208)". Lineage: Eukaryota; Viridiplantae; Streptophyta; Magnoliopsida; Brassicales; Brassicaceae. The record is from RNAcentral.